Molecule: ribosomal RNA, 207 nt
Filed under: uncultured bacterium
Lineage: Bacteria
Description: partial 16S ribosomal RNA
Rfam family: Bacterial small subunit ribosomal RNA
Source: RNAcentral
CUCGUAGGCGGUUCGUCGCGUCCGGUGUGAAAGUCCAUCGCUUAACGGUGGAUCCGCGCCGGGUACGGGCGGGCUUGAGUGCGGUAGGGGAGACUGGAAUUCCCGGUGUAACGGUGGAAUGUGUAGAUAUCGGGAAGAACACCAAUGGCGAAGGCAGGUCUCUGGGCCGUCACUGACGCUGAGGAACGAAAGCGUGGGUAGCGAACA